GUGAGGAAUUUUGGGCAAUGGGCGAAAGCCUGACCCAGCGACGCCGCGUGGGCGAUGAAGGUCUUCGGAUCGUAAAGCCCUGUGAGUUGAGAAGAAGCCCAUGAGUGCUAAUAUCGCUUAUGGGUGACAGUACCAACAGAGGAAGCCCCGGCUAACUACGUGCCAGCAGCCGCGGUAAAACGUAGGGGGCUAGCGUUGUUCGGAAUUACUGGGCGUAAAGCGCGUGUAGGCGGUUUAGUAAGUCAGAAGUGAAAUCCCUCGGCUCAACCGAGGAACUGCUUUUGAAACUACUGAACUUGAGUAUGGGCGGGGAGAGCGGAAUUCCCGGUGUAGCGGUGAAAUGCGUAGAUAUCGGGAAGAACACCAGUGGCGAAGGCGGCUCUCUGGACCAUCACUGACGCUGAGACGCGAAAGCGUGGGUAGCAAACAGGAUUAGAAACCCCGGUAGUCC
RNAcentral lists this ribosomal RNA (451 nucleotides) under uncultured bacterium. RNAcentral's name for it is "bacterial SSU rRNA". It matches the Rfam family "Bacterial small subunit ribosomal RNA", at positions 354 to 796 of the family's 1533-position model. The record is from RNAcentral.